Molecule: ribosomal RNA, 253 nt
Filed under: uncultured bacterium
Lineage: Bacteria
Description: partial 16S ribosomal RNA
Rfam family: Bacterial small subunit ribosomal RNA
Source: RNAcentral
UACAGAGGUGGCAAGCGUUGUUCGGAAUUACUGGGCGUAAAGGGCGCGUAGGCGGCCUUCUAAGUCAGACGUGAAAUCCCCAGGCUUAACUUGGGAACUGCGUCUGAUACUGGGAGGCUUGAAUGCGGGAGAGGGAUGUGGAAUUCCAGGUGUAGCGGUGAAAUGCGUAGAUAUCAGGAGGAACACCGGUGGCGAAGGCGGAUCUCUGGGCCAUUACUGACGCUGAGGAGCGAAAGCGUGGGGAGCGAACAGG